CAGCCGCCGCGGGAAUACAGAGGGUGCGAGCGUUAAUUGGAUUUACUGGGCGUAAAGCGUGCGUAGGCGGCUUCUUAAGUCGGAUGUGAAAUCCCUGAGCUUAACUUAGGAAUUGCAUUCGAUACUGGGAAGCUAGAGUAUGGGAGAGGAUGGUAGAAUUCCAGGUGUAGCGGUGAAAUGCGUAGAGAUCUGGAGGAAUACCGAUGGCGAAGGCAGCCAUCUGGCCUAAUACUGACGCUGAGGUACGAAAGCAUGGGGAGCAAACAGGAUUAGAUACCCCGGUAGUCCCUGUCUCUUAUAC
RNAcentral lists this ribosomal RNA (301 nucleotides) under uncultured bacterium. RNAcentral describes it as "partial 16S ribosomal RNA". It matches the Rfam family "Bacterial small subunit ribosomal RNA", at positions 509 to 807 of the family's 1533-position model. The record is from RNAcentral.